CUGCGUAUUAUCGCUUGAUUUUUCCUAAACUUGUGCGUUUUGUGUGAUUUCAACAGGAAUAACCAUGGAACAGUUAUUUGUGGCGUUUUGACGUACACGCCGACUGUACAAUAUUAAACUACCUACAUUUCAGUCUACCGCGACCACGGCUUUUGUAAAGAUGUCGAAACGCCGGAAAAGAAAAAUAAAAAUCCCGUUUAUACAGCAAUAAAAUAGUUAAAUAAAAAUAAGUUCGAAAAAAAAUCAUAUUGAUUAAAUAAAACAGUCGUAUCCAUACUAUUGUAGCUUCAUGGAGCAACUAUGCUCAUAUUUCACUGUUUUUAAUAACAUCGUUUUUGAUAUUUCUCUUCUAAACAUGUGUUAUUUUUCAUUGUAAUUGAUGCUUAGUUCUAUGUAAAUCUUGAAUAAUUAACAACUAUAACACUUGGAAGUAUAUAUUCUGCAAAAUCUUAGUGUUUUUGAGACAAUGUUUUUUGUAAGAAUUUCGAGCCUCAUUUUUGAUACAUCCAUACUCAAGAUGUGUUGAAUAUUAUAAUGUGCCAUUAUUUAUACUAGCUUGGCAGUAAGUUAAAAUUAUUGUAAACAAAAAACGCUUUGUCCCUGACGCCAGGAACAUAUUGUAAACUAAUGAAAUGUGAGACCCACUUAAGUGGCUUUUGAAGAGGUGCUUUUUUUGUCGUAUGUUAAAAAGAGGGUACAGUGAAAAAAAAAUGUAUGUAAGGUA
Molecule: long non-coding RNA, 724 nt
Organism: Melitaea cinxia (Glanville fritillary)
Lineage: Eukaryota; Metazoa; Arthropoda; Insecta; Lepidoptera; Nymphalidae
Exons: 2
Source: RefSeq, a predicted model, not a curated record